Molecule: long non-coding RNA, 956 nt
Organism: Peromyscus leucopus (white-footed mouse)
Lineage: Eukaryota; Metazoa; Chordata; Mammalia; Rodentia; Cricetidae
Exons: 2
Source: RefSeq, a predicted model, not a curated record
CAGCCGGAAGGGGUGUGGUGGGCUCCGGAGGCGAAGGUGGGUGGGUCGGGCCGGGCUAGCUCUGGAGUGGCUUUCCCUGGCCGCUUGCCCUAUCCCAGGCUAAUCGCGGGCGGGACGGAGACAUGGAACCGGGCUCGGGCGAGGCCCCCCCGCCCCCCGAAACGUCUGUGAUGAGAGGCGGGCGGCUGAGGCUCGAGGACCGGCGGCCCCGCCUGGCCGCGUGGACGGUUCGCUUGGUGUGUUUGGCAUUGCCGAGUUGGUUGCUACCUGAAACCGGAGACUGGCGGCAGCCCCGGAGACCAUCUGUGGCCCGUUCCUUCCCCCUGAAAAUGAGAACGCGAAUCCCAAAUGGUUGAGGGAGCUCGAAGGGACAGACAGACAAAGAAAAAGCACCAAUCGUCAUUGAUCGGGGAGGAGGCACCUAAAUGCUCAGUCUUCACUGAGGUCUGCAAUCCUGGUUCUGUGACUGAUAGAGAACCCUCUUCCUAAAGCUGCAGGCCUUGGAGUGUCCACCUGUUCUCCUCGAUUCUCUAUGAAGUGAAUUCACUGAUCCAGGUCCACACGGAACGGCUUCACCACAGAAGACAACAUGUGAUACCUGCAGAAACAAUAAACACACCAUUGACUUGUUUACUCAUUCUCCUGCCACAGCAAUGAGUCAGAAGUCAUGCAGCUUAUUCCGGGGACCUUGACCUCUGUUUUGUAAGACGGUGUGACCUCAGUUUCCAGAGAGGUCUGGCUCACCGGAAAUUCAAAUUCACCUACGAUUAUCAUAAAAACACCUGGAACGGUUUGUCAGGGAGGCACAGUGUGCUUGCUCCUAGUGUUCCAUGGUUUGCUUUUAUCACCAGAAUCAAAACACCGUAGAGUCCUCUAUUUAGGAAAAAUGUGGGUUCCACCCUUUGCCCAACAUACUCUUUGAAAAACAAACUGGAAAUAAAAAAAACAAGAAGCUA